This 463-nucleotide ribosomal RNA is filed under the name uncultured bacterium. Its description in RNAcentral is "partial 16S ribosomal RNA". It matches the Rfam family "Bacterial small subunit ribosomal RNA", at positions 28 to 507 of the family's 1533-position model. The record is from RNAcentral.
GACGAACGCUGGCGGCGUGCUUAACACAUGCAAGUCGAACGGAAAGGCCUUUUCGGUGGUACUCGAGUGGCGAACGGGUGAGUAACACGUGGGUGAGCUGCCUUGCACUCUGGGUUAAGUAUGGGAAGCUGGGUCUAAUACCGGAUAGGACCGCACUCCAGCGGGUGUGGGGGAAAGUUUUUUCGGUGUAGGGUGAGCCCGGGGCCUAUCCGCUUCUUGGUGGGGUAAUGGCCUUCCAAGGCGGCGACGGGGAGCCGGACUGAGAGGUUGGUCGGCCACAUUGGGACUGGGGUACGGCCCAGACUCCUACGGGAGGCAGCAGUGGGGAAUAUUGCACAAUGGGCGGAAGCCUGAUGCAGCGACGCCGCGUGGGGGAAGACGGCCUUCGGGUUGUAAACUCCUUUCGCCAGGGACGAAGCGUUUUGUGACGGUACCUGGUGAAGAAGCACCGGCUAACUACGUG